Molecule: ribosomal RNA, 519 nt
Filed under: uncultured bacterium
Lineage: Bacteria
Description: partial 16S ribosomal RNA
Rfam family: Bacterial small subunit ribosomal RNA
Source: RNAcentral
GACGAACGCUGGCGGCGUGCCUAAUACAUGCAAGUCGAGCGAGUCUGCCUUGAAGAUCGGAGUGCUUGCACUCUGUGAAACAAGAUACAGGCUAGCGGCGGACGGGUGAGUAACACGUGGGUAACCUGCCCAAGAGAUCGGGAUAACACCUGGAAACAGAUGCUAAUACCGGAUAACAACAGAUGAUGCCUAUCAACUGUUUAAAAGAUGGUUCUGCUAUCACUCUUGGAUGGACCUGCGGUGCAUUAGCUAGUUGGUAGGGUAACGGCCUACCAAGGCGAUGAUGCAUAGCCGAGUUGAGGGACUGAUCGGCCACAUUGGGACUGAGACACGGCCCAAACUCCUACGGGAGGCAGCAGUAGGGAAUCUUCCACAAUGGACGCAAGUCUGAUGGAGCAACGCCGCGUGAGUGAAGAAGGGUUUCGGCUCGUAAAGCUCUGUUGUUGGUGAAGAAGGACAGGGGUAGUAACUGACCUUUGUUUGACGGUAAUCAAUUAGAAAGUCACGGCUAACUAAGUG